GGAGAGCUGGCCGAGUGGCUGAAGGCGCGCCCCUGCUAAGGGCGUAUAGGGUUAAACCUAUCGAGGGUUCGAAUCCCUCGCUCUCCGCCA
Molecule: transfer RNA, 90 nt
Filed under: Thiohalophilaceae bacterium
Lineage: Bacteria; Pseudomonadati; Pseudomonadota; Gammaproteobacteria; Thiohalomonadales; Thiohalophilaceae
Also listed under: 1 other name
Description: tRNA-Ser
Rfam family: tRNA
About the family: Transfer RNA (tRNA) molecules are approximately 80 nucleotides in length. Their secondary structure includes four short double-helical elements and three loops (D, anti-codon, and T loops). Further hydrogen bonds mediate the characteristic L-shaped molecular structure. tRNAs have two regions of fundamental functional importance: the anti-codon, which is responsible for specific mRNA codon recognition, and the 3' end, to which the tRNAs corresponding amino acid is attached (by aminoacyl-tRNA synthetases). tRNAs cope with the degeneracy of the genetic code in two manners: having more than one tRNA (with a specific anti-codon) for a particular amino acid; and 'wobble' base-pairing, i.e. permitting non-standard base-pairing at the 3rd anti-codon position.
Source: RNAcentral